This 42190-nucleotide long non-coding RNA is filed under the name Populus trichocarpa (black cottonwood). RNAcentral describes it as "long non-coding RNA (PTRI_LNC002841)". Lineage: Eukaryota; Viridiplantae; Streptophyta; Magnoliopsida; Malpighiales; Salicaceae. The record is from RNAcentral.
AGAAAAUUUAAGCACCUCCAGCAGUUGGAUCUUGCAGCUAACAAUCUUACAGGUCCAAUUCCAUAUGAUCUUGAGCAACUCACUGAGUUGGUUUCACUUGCUCUCUCUGGAAACGAAAACGACUAUCUAAGUCUAGAACCAAUUUCUUUUGACAAGCUUGUUCGAAAUCUAACCCAGCUUAGAGAACUCUAUCUGUGGUGGGUGAACAUGCCAUUGGUUGUACCCAAUUCCUUGAUGAAUCUGUCUUCUUCUUUGUCAUCACUCACACUCUAUUCAUGUGGAUUACAAGGAAAAUUCCCAUCCUCAGUGAGAAAAUUUAAGCACCUCCAAUACUUGGAUCUUAGAUACAGCAAUCUUACAGGUUCAAUUCCAGAUGAUCUUGGACAACUCACUGAGUUGGUUUCAAUUGAUCUCUCUUUCAAUGACUAUUUGAGUGUAGAACCAAGUUCUUUUGACAAGAUUAUUCAAAACCUAACCAAGCUAAGAGGUCUCCGUUUGGGUUAUGUAAAUAUGCCUUUGGUCACACCUAAUUCCUUUGCGAAUCUAUCCUCAUCCUUGUCAGCUCUUGCCCUUUGGGGUGGUGGAUUGAAAGGGAAGUUUCCAGGUAACAUCUUUCUCCUACCAAACCUUGAAUCACUUGAUUUGACAUACAACGACGACCUCACUGGCUCUUUUCCUUCAUCCAAUGUGAGUAAUAUCCUCCUGUUAUUGGGUCUUACUCAUACGAGAAUUUCAGUUUCUUUAGAAAACGACUUCUUCAAUAAUCUAAAGUUGUUGGAAGUUUUGGUUCUUAAAAACUCUAAUAUCAUAAGGUCAAAUCUAACCCUGAUUGGCUAUCUCACACGGCUCACUCGUUUGGACCUUGUAGGUAAUAAUUUGAAUGGUCAGAUUCCAUCAUCACUUAGAAACCUUGUUCAACUUCAAUCCUUGUAUCUCGAUAACAAUAAUUUUUCUGGGUGGAUUCCAGAUUUUUUAGGUAACCUGACUGUCCUUGAAAAUUUAGGUUUAUCUAGUAAUCAACUCGUAGGACAUAUCCCUUCUCAAAUAGGUACUCUUUCAUUGAGAUUGUUUGAUUUAAGAAACAACCACUUGCAUGGUCCAAUCCCAAGUUCAAUUUUCAAACAAGGGAACCUGGAAGCCCUUGCUCUUGCAUCCAACAAUAAAUUAACAGGUGAAAUUUCUUCCUCUAUUUGCAACCUUAAGUUCCUUCGACUCCUUGAUUUGUCCAACAACAGCUUGAGUGGUUUUGUACCACAAUGUUUAGGGAACUUUAGCAACUCUCUCUCAAUUUUGAAUCUUGGCAUGAAUAAUCUUCAAGGCACCAUCUUUUCACCAUUUCCAAAAGGGAAUAACUUGGGAUAUCUCAACCUAAAUGGCAAUGAAUUGGAAGGGAAAAUACCAUUGUCUAUCAUCAACUGUGCAAUGCUGGAAAUUCUUGAUCUUGGCGACAAUAAGAUCGAGGAUACAUUCCCUUAUUUCCUUGAAAUGCUUCCAGAGCUGCAUGUUCUUGUCCUAAAGUCCAAUAAGCUUCAGGGUUUUGUGAAUGGUCCGAUUGCUAAUAAUUCCUUCUCUAAAUUACGGAUUUUCGACAUCUCCAGCAAUAAUUUGAGUGGAUCAUUGCCAACAGGGUAUUUCAAUAGUUUUAAAGCAAUGAUGGCCUCUGAUCAAAAUUCAUUUUACAUGAUGGCAAGAAAUUACUCUGACUAUGCUUAUUCCAUAAAAGUGACAUGGAAAGGGUUUGAUAUUGAGUUCACGAAAAUCCAAAGUGCUCUUAGAAUACUUGAUUUGUCAAACAACAAUUUCAUCGGAGAGAUAUCAAAGGUGAUCGGAAAGCUUAAAGCAAUUCAACAACUCAACCUCUCUCAUAAUUCCCUUACAGGUCAUAUUCAAUCAUCUAUAGGAAUGUUGACCGAUCUGGAAUCCUUAGAUCUAUCUUCAAAUUUUCUUACUGGAAGGAUUCCAGUACAGUUGGCAGAUCUAACAUUUCUUGGAGUCUUAAACCUUUCACAUAACCAGCUUGAGGGGCCCAUACCCAGUAGAAACCAGUUCAGCACGUUUAAUGCAAGCUCAUUUGAAGGAAACUUGGGUUUAUGUGGAUUGCCCAUGCCAAAAGAAUGCAAUAGUGACGAUGCACCACCAUUGCAGCCAUCGAACUUUCACGAUGGAGAUGAUUCAGCAUUCUUUGGAGAUGGAUUUGGAUGGAAAGCUGUGGCAAUAGGGUAUGGAAGUGGGUUUGUGUUUGGAGUCACAAUGGGAUACGUUGUGUUUAGGACAAGAAAACCGGUAUGGUUUCUGAAAGUGGUUGAAGAUCAAUGGAAUCUGAAGGCAAGAAGAACGAAGAAGAAUGCUCGUAGAAAUGGUGCAAGAAGAAACUAAAUAGCGCAGCUAGUAACAUGAAGUAAGUUCUGCAAGCAUUUGACAUCUUAAAGUUUUAUGUGCAAGAGUUUACGCUAUUUUUUCUGUGCUAUUUCCUUUGAUUAGUCUUUUCUUUCUGUUUCAUUAAAUAAAAAAAUUAUUUGUAUGCUUCUAAAUUGCAGUGAAGUUUCGAAUAAACAUCCUCGCUACCUUAUGAGAUACCAAGCGGAGUUGACAUGAGAAGAACGCUAGAGUGGCAGAUUCAGAGAACUUCUUCGUACUUCUUCUGUUUUCCUUCAUGGUUGUGUUUUAUUUUAUUUUCUUUCAUUAGUUUUAUUCGAUACAUGGAAUGUUUUCGAGUCACUUAAUAUGCGUGUUUUUUUUUUUGGUUAGUUUUGAUGCAAGGUUUGGGUGUUACAUCUAUAAAAAAGAAGCAAUGCAUGCAGCAGUUAAUGUUUAAUAGAAAAUCCAGCUUGAUUUUAAGGUUUUUUUUUUUUUUUAACCAGUACAUAACCUACUUAAAGCUGGGAGAAUUCCAUAUAGAAAGCAGGUCCGAAAAAGACAUCAUACAAUGGACAACUAGAUUUUUAAGAGUCAGUUAUUUCAGUUUGCUGCAGAGCUUUCAUUUCUUUAUUUUCUUUUUCUCUGUCAUUGUAAACGAACAGAACUUUUUUUUCUAGUUAGCCAAGUCUUUUUGGCACUAAUUUUUAUAUAAAAUCUUGAUAUAUAUAUAUAUAUGAAAGAUUGUAUUUGAGAGUAUACUCUUAAAAAAUGAAAUGUAUUGUAGGAAAUGGGUGUCUUAGUGAUGGCGUUUUCAAAAUAAAUUUAAUGACCAUUGUAAGCAAGGUUGAGAUGAAUAAUAUUAAUAAUGCAUCUUCUUCUUACUUGGAUUAGUCUUAUGAUGAAUGGCAUGAGAGGUUGGGGCAUAUGAAUUAUAAUUUUAUACAAAAUUGGUUCAUCUUGAAUUAAUACCUACCAUGGUUUUUUAGAAAAAUCAUACGUGUAAAGUUUGUGUAAAAUUAAAAUUCACAAAAUCUUCUUUUCAAAUUAUUAAAAGAAGUAGUGAAUCUCUAGAUUUAAUUCACUCAGACAUUAAUGAUUUAAAAAUAAUGUAAACCAAAGGAGAAAAGAAGUAUUAUAUCACCUUUAUAGAGAAUUGCACAAGGUACUUUUAUACUUAUGAGACUCUUAAAAUAUUAAAAAAUUACAAAAUUUAAGUUCAAAAUCAACUUAAUAAAAAAAAUAAUACGAAGUUAUAGAUACGGAGAGUAUGAAAUAUAUUUUGGUGAAUUUUGUUUCCAAAAUGAGAUAAUUCACCAAAUUAGUACUCCUUAUUUACCUCAAUAAAAUGACAUUAAAAAACAUAAAAACCAAACACUUCAAAAACUAAUGAAUAUCAUGUUGAUAAGUUCAAGAGUGCCUCAAAACUUGUGAAAGGAGGCAAUUAUAACUGCCAAUUGUAUUUUUAAUAAAGUACACCCAUAAAAAACUAGAAAAGACACUAUAUGAAUUAUAGAAAGGUAAAAGAUCAUAAAAAUACCUCAAAAUGUGAGGGUGUCUUGAAAAGAUAGCAAUACUUGAUCCUAAAAUGUUCAAGAUACGAAAUAGAAUUGUGAAUUGUGUAUUUAUCGGGUAUACUUACAAUAAUAAUACAUAUUAGUUUUUUAUACACAACUUAAGUAUUGAGAAUAUACAUUCUAAUACUAUUAUAGAAUCAAAUAGCGCUAUAUUUUUUGAAGAUGUGUUUUCAUUUGAAGAGCUAUAAGAAAAUUAUUCACUUAAAAAAAUAAUAGAAGCUAGCUUAAAUAGUUAUCAUCAAUCGAAAAAUGAUGAAGUUGAGUCUAGAAGGAGUAAAAGGAAAAAACAACUAAAAUAUUUGAAAUUUCAGCAAUAACCACUUGAAUGGUCCAAUCCCAAGUCCAAUUUUCAAAUAAGAGAGCUUGUUAAUCAUCAUUUUACAUCCAACAGUAAAUAAAUUUCUUUUUCUAUUUGCAAGCUUGACUUAUCCAACAAUAGCUUGAGUAGUUCUAUUCCCCCAUGUUUGGAGAACUUCAAUAACACUAUUAGUUUUACAUUCAGGCAUGAACAAUCUUCAAUGAACUAUCUCUUUAACAUUUUUAAAGAGGAAUGGGAUAUUCCAACCUGGGAAAAUAUUGGAAUCAACCGCAUAAUAGUGGAAGUUCUUGAUCUCAGCAAUGAUAAGAUUAAGUAUACAUUCCCCUAUUUCCUAGAAACACUUUCAAAAUUGCAGGUUUUUGUUCUAAAAUUAAAUAGACUCUAGGGUUUUUUGAAGGUCCAAUCACUUAUAACUCCUUUAAAUAAUAUAUUUUUUACAUCUUCAACAAUAAUUUUAGUGGACCAUUGCAAAUAAGGUGUUUAAUAGUCUUGAAGCAACGUUGGUCUCUUUAAAAUAUUAUUUAUAUGAUGGCAAGAGUUUUCUCAAGAUAUGCCUAUACCUUAAAAACAACAUGGAAAGAGUUGGAAGUUGAGUUUAUGAAAAUCCAAAGUAUUCUUGGAAUAGUACUUGUCUUGUCAAAUAAUAAUUUUAUCGGAGAGAUUCCAAAAUUAAUCGGAAAGCUUAAAACAUUUCAAUAACUUAACCUCUCUUACAAUUCCCUUACAGGUCGUAUCCAAGCAUCAUUAGGAGUUUUGACCAAACUAGAAUAAUUAGAUCUAUCUUUCAAUUUGCUUACCAGAAGGAUUCCUAUGCAGUUGGCUAAAACUUGAUGGCUAAUCAUUUCUUGAUAAGUACGAAAUCUUUUACAUAACCAGCUCGAGGGACACAUACCUAGUGAAAGUAACUCAACACAUUUGAUCAAAGCACAUUUGAAGGAAACUUGGGUUUAUGUGGAUUUCCACUGCCAAAAGGAUGCAAUAGUGGCGAGGCACCAUCAAUAUUGUUGCCAUCAAACUUUAAUGAAGGAGAUCGCUCAACAUUGUUUGGAGAUGGAUUUGGAUGGAAAGUUGUGGCAAUGGGCUAUGGAUGUGGGUUUGUAUUUGGAGUCACAAUGGCUUAUCUACAAAGAGACAAGUACUUGCAUGGUUUAUGAGGAUGGUUGAAGGUCAAUGGAAUGUGAAGGGAAGAAGAACAGAAAACAAUUCUCGCAGACAAGGUGCCAGAAGAAACUCAAAAAAAUUACAUUCAGUAAAUCAAAGUACUCAUGACUAUUAUUGUGUGUUUUCUUAUUGCAGUACAAAUUCAAUAGAGGUUGUACCUCACGAGAUACCAAGUGGAGUUAACAUUGGAGCAACACUAAAGUGUCAGGUUUAGAAUAUUUGAUGCGGGUGGAAGCUAAAGAUAAGAACAAAUAAAUAACACGGAAUUUUGAUGAAUGAAAAGGUAUUGAAGGAAAAAAUCCCAAAUAAUUAGGUGAUAUACUUUAAUUAAUGGGAUUAAAUAAUUUAUCAAAGUUAAUCCUAGAAUAGCUCCUAGAAUGGUGGAUCAGAUUGUAUUUUAAACCAGCUUUGCAAUAGUGAAAAAAGAAAAUACAGAAAACAUUCGCAUUAUCAUUUUCUUUAUGUUAUCAGAGCUCUAGUUCUGAGAACCUAGGAAUCCAUACAACUAAAAUACCUCAUGCCUGGUGACGAAGACCGAAAGCUUCUUGAACAAAACAGGCGCUGUCGAACUCUUUCAAGACCUCAGAACCAUGGGAGAACUCCAAUCAUCCACUUUUUCUCCAUCACUCGGAUCAACCAGGCGCUGUCCUCGUUUCACAACCAAUUCUAGUGCUCUGUUCCUUGCCUACUUUUGGGCAGUGUUAUCAUGCAAACAGAAGCGUUGGCAAAGUAAUUAGUUCCAAAUAUUUCUAGCAUAGAUUUAUGCAUGCAAAAUAGUAAUGUGAAUAAGCAACCUUGUUAAAGCUUAGCUCCUGGAAAUGGGAUGCCGCCGCAAAUUGCAACUGGAAAAAAAAAAUCAAGUAUGUAAUUUGGUGGCUAGUCUUGUUAGGAUUCGGAAUCAAAACAAUUAAAGCUUGAUUUGUAAAUCAUAUCUUAGAGAUUUAGUUUGAUUGUAGUUUUUGUAAUUAAAUCCUAAAAAUUAGUUGCUAGUCUGUCAGUUUAUUUAUUUAGACAAGAUCUUUUUUAUAUAAACCAUGUAUAUGUACCAUAGAAAUCACACAGAAUAAUAAGACUGCCUUGCUGUUCUUCAAACUCCCUCUGUCAGCUUUCUUGUUUUCUUUAAGUCUUGCAAACGAGACCGACUCAUCCCUCGUAAUGAUGCAGCUGUCGAACAUCAACCUCGCACCUACAAGAAAUGGUGAGGCAUAUUACUCCCUCUGUCGAUUCGUUCUCCCAUUUUUAUGUAUUCAGCAUCAAUAGUUUCAGCAUCACGUAAGAAGGUUGAGAUAUUCGCCGGUAGCACAUAUGAAUCACAUUUGCAUUCUACUUUCAAAUUCUUCAGUCUUUUGAAGGGAGCACCACUUUUCCACAUGAAUACAAACCUUUACCACUAAUAAGGAUAGGUGGAGCUCCAUACCUUCGUUUUUUUUUUCUUCUUAUAUCCAUAGCAACGACUCACUCCUGACAUAGCUUACAGGUGAGUGACCAUUUUCGAGAGCUAAAUCACGGUAAAAAAUUUAUCAACUCAAGGUUUUUAGUCAAUCGUAUAUUUACACGUAGGUUGGGAAAUACAAGUGAUAAGAUUCAAACUAGAAAUGUUCUCUUCCCUUGAUUAACUCUUUAAUACUUAAUUAUUAUCAGUUAAAUUACCAACUAACUUGCUUAGCUCUAUACCUUCGUGUCCAAGCAGUAAUGCAACACAAAAGUAAUAGAGGAUUUACGAUCAAAUGUUUCUGAGAUGCAAAUAUUAUUAAUUAUCAAUUUAUAGCAGUAUGCAUAAACCCUAUUUUGAAAAAUCAGGUAAUCCAAAAUUGAUACUGUUUUUUCCAUUGCCCCAUUAAUUUUUGAUAAGAAAUUCAUUAAAAAUAUGGAUUAAUAAAACUAGGCUCAAGAAAUUUUUUACUAAGAAAAAUAACAAUCUCAUUAUUUCUAAAACUUUAUAAAUAAACUAGAACUGUAAUUUGGAUGACUUAAGUUUUUUCAUUUUACAUGAAUUAUCUCAAAUAAAUGUGAGGUAAUUCUCUAAAUUACCUAUUCUCCGAAACUUUAAGAAAUUUACUACCCGAAUUGGUUCAAACAAUCAAAGUAAUUUGGAUUAUUUUUUAAUAAUGCUCAUAUCUAUUCACACCAAUCAUAUGUGGUGGCAUGGUUGCAUCGAUUCUUUUUUUAUUUGGAAGGUGAGAUUUAGUUUUUUGCAUGUCUUUUAACCUUUUUUUUUAUUAACGUGUGAGAUUUAGUUUUUUGUAUAUUUUUUAAUUUUUUUUAUUAAUGUAGAUAUCCGAGUUAGCUUGCGUAUACCUUAACUAAUUUCACGAAACUUAAAAUUAAUUAAUUUUACAGCAUGUAGUUCAAGAAACCUUCUUCUGUCAUUUUGUGUCAGUUAGGUUAAAGAAGCGCUGAUUUCAAUUUUGUAAACUAGUACAUGCUCGAAUUAUGAAUAUCAUAUUCUUCGUUUGAAUUCUUUGACAUUAAUUUUCACUUUCUCUUUCUUCUUUUUUUUACACAAAAGUCAAAGAAAAAAACACCUUUUCUUGUAAAUAUUAUCCAAAAACAAUUUCCCAAGAAUCAUCAUAAGAUAACUAUCUAAAGAAACAAUAAGAGAUACAAACCUAGCCACUAAAUGGUAUUUUACUAGCUAAUAUCCAACUAUCUAAUUCCAAAACAAUUUAAGAAUUAAUAAGAUAAACUCUUGGGCCUUAAAAAGAAAAAAAAAGAUUAACUACAGGGGCCCUUCUUUUUUAUCCUCUAAUCCUAUUGUUUUUCUGAUUAAAAAUGAUUAAAUUGUCUUAUUAUUUAUUAAUUGUGAAACCUCACUUUUAUAUAAAUCUAAGCUCUCUAACUUAAGAAAUUAAAAUAAGAUAUUAUAAAAAUCAUACCGUUCUCUCAUUGUUUUUCAUUUUCAGAGAAUAUUAAGAUGUCAUUUACUUACUUGCUGGAAAGUUUUUUUUUGAAAAGUAAAUUUUAAAAAAAUUAAUUUCAGAAAAGUAAAUUAUUUUUCAAUAUGUGGUAAUGUAAUAGAAAAUAAAUUAGAAAACACUUUCUAAUAUUUGAUUAUGUUAUGGAAAAUAAGAUAUAAAAUAACUUAUUAAUAUUUUUUUUUAAGUUUAUUAAAAUAAUAAGAAAUAAAUUUUACAAAUUUAAAAUUUAAAUAAAAAAAUUAAAAAUAUAUAUAUAAUUUUAUAAAUUACUUUAAAUAAAUUAUUUAACUAUAAAAAGGAGAGAAAAAAAGAGAGGGUGACUUGGGGAAAGGGUCAGCAGAGCAGAUCAGAGUGAAGAGUGUGAGAGUGAUAGAGGGUUCGAUAACUAAGGAGGCCAAGGGUUUUUCAACAGCAACAACAAAGAGAGACAGAAAAAUGUGGAGGAGGAGGAGUCAUUUAUUACUCAGCAACGCCGUAAGAACCUCCCACCACCUCUCCUCCUUAUCGGCUUCCACCGCUUCCAGAGGCAGAACCCUCCUCACUCCCUCCUCCAAUUCUCCCUUAUUUAAAUCCCCUUCUCUUCACUUAGCCCCAAACAACCGCCUUUCCUCUCCUCUCUCCUCCACCAUCUCCGUCCGCCUCCUCCGCACCGGCCGCGACCCCUUCACCAGGUACAUUCAUUCUCCAUUCCCUCCCUCUGUCUUUCUUCCGUUUUUUAUUAUGAAUUUAUUAUAAUUCAUUAGUUAUGAGAUUACGCCACCUGUGAAUUGGGGGGUACGGAUUGUGCCGGAGAAGAAAGCGUUUGUGGUUGUUACGUACCUAGUCACUAGGAAUGGGUGUGCAGUAUAUGGAAAGAAGAAGCUAAAGGUGGUGCAGGAUUGGUAACGUCUGCAACACGCAACAAGGGGUGGUUAAUUCUGUUAGUUGUUAGCCAUAGUUAGUUAGCAUAUUGUUACAGCUGUUAUAGUUAGUUAGAGUAGUCAGUUAGUCGUUAUCUUCAGUUACUAUAAAACCAUGAUCAAGGGUAUCAGUUGAAUACGAAGAAUAUAGAAUACAGAAAAUUCAGUCUCAACUCUUCUCUCUCGAAUUCUUUCUCACAAAUUCUCUGUUCUUCAUCUCUUUCUUCUUCACUUGUUAAGAAACCUUAACAGUGGUAGAGAGAUUUGGAAAGUACUUGAAGACGCUGCCAUCUGGAAUCCAUUUCUUGAUUCCUCUUGUCGAUCGAAUCGCUUAUGUUCACUCUUUGAAGGAAGAGGCUAAUCAGAUUCCUGAUCAAUCUGCUAUUACCAAAGACAAUGUCAGCAUUCUUAUCGACGGCGUCCUCUAUGAAAAGAUUGUGGUAUGAUACCUCUUUACUUCAAUCACCCUUUCUUAGUGUAUUCACAUUAUUUAUUUAUUUAGGAGUGUGCUUUUUAUGUGAAGUACAUUUCGCCGUGAAGAGAUUGGUUGCUUUAACAUUUCGAUUCAUUAAUAAUAUAUUGAAAUGCCAGACAUAAAUCAUAAAUGUGAGCAAAAUCGGUUGCUGCUUCAGGAAAUUGUGACUUGGUUGGUUCUUCAAAAUUGUAAUGACACUUCUCCGUUUCUUGUCUUAUCAACAUAGUUAAAACUCUAAGGUUGUUUUGGAGUUUUAGUUGAAAAUCAGGCAUUUUAAGAAAACAAGGAUGUUGUUGAAUAUGCAAGACCAUCACCAUUUCUGCAGGAGGCCAUCAAUGUGGCUGCAACAGACUGGGGUCUCCGAUGUCUUCGUUAUGAAAUAAGUGAGCCAGCCGCACUUAUCUUAUUUGAUAUUCUAUGUUGAUUAGGUUCCUGUUGAAUUUUCUUUUAAUGCUUCACUGUCCUCUCUUCUUUAGGGGAUAUAUCUCCUCCACGUGGGGUGAAGCAAGCUAUGGAGAUGCAGGCAGAAGCAGAACGUAGAAAGAGAGCUCAAAUUCUUGAGUCUGAAGGUAGUAAAUGUAGUUUAAUUUCUCAGUUUUACCUCGGCUUAAUUAAACUCCACUUUAAUCGAACUUUGUUGCAAUUUACUUCAUGCAUCAUUUUUAUCCUUUUGUACAGAAUUGCCAUGCCAUCUUGUCAUGCUUGGUCGUUUUCCACCGCUUCUUUUCAUCGCAUUUUUUCUGCCUCUCGUAUCUUUGCUGCUACAUAAUGCAGACACUUUUAUUCACCUAUCAUAUCUAUAAAUCUUUGUUAUGCAUGGCUUAAUAAUUGUAGGCAACCUUUUUUAGAACCAUUUGUUCAAUGUCGUGAGGCAUUGCAAUAUUUCUUCAUUUGUCAAUUCAUUGCUAAUCUUUUGUAUUGAUUAUUUUUAACAGGAGAGAGACAGGCCAAUAUUAAUAUUGCUGAUGGUCAUAAGAGUGCUCAGAUCUUGGCAUCACAAGGUUAGUUUUCUUGUGUGUCGUAAGAAUUCUGUUGAUUACAAGUUUCAUUGGAGAUGGUUGUAACUUCUCGAGUAUUGUUUUGAAAUAGAACUUGUUUUACUUCUUUAAUGUUUAUCAUCCAAUUGCCAUCAUUUCUUCAUGGAAACUCUCUUCCUCAACAGGAGAGAAACAAGCUCUCAUCAACAAAGCACAAGGUUAGCUUUCUCAUGUCUCUCUGCUCUGCUGUGCAGUAAUCAAUUGGUGCUCCUCUAUUUCAUUUUCUAGACCCAUAAGCCGUUCUAAAUUAGUAGAUAACCAAACAAAAUUCAUGAGGUGAUAUGAUGGCUUAUCUUGUUACAGUUAUUUUGUAGGCAGCUAAUCUCAUUUUUCUUUCAAUCCUUGUCUUUCGUAUAUCCUUGUGUAUAUGUGCAAUGAUCCACUGAUUAUGAUUGGGUUUCAUUGGAGAUGGCUGUAGCAUCUCAAGUAUUACUUUUUAAACAAACCAAAUGAUGUGAGAACAUAUUUGUUGUUUUAUGACUUUUCAUAUCUGUUGAAGCUUUUAAAUGGUAGUGCUGAUACCUAGUUGCACUUAAAAUAGGUUUGGCUCUUAAUUUGCUCUUCUAGUCUCCUGGAUUGUUUAGCAUGGGAUGCUCUAGUUUUUCAUUUUCUAGACCCAUUAGCUACUCUACAAUAUUUGAUAACCAACCAGACUUGAUCCGGCAAUAUCAUGGCUUAUCUUUAUAUAGUUCUCAUAUGAUCGGCUGCCAAUCUCAUAUCAUUUUAAAUCCUUAUCGAUAAUAUUUUAGGUGAGGCUGAAGCCAUCAUUGCUAAAGCACAAGCAACAGCCAAAGGAAUUGCCAUUGUGUCAGAGAAUAUUAAAAAGAGUGGGGGGAUUGAGGUGAGGUUCUCCAUGUAGAUUUUGAUGUGGUUGCGUAAACAAGAUAUAUCCCUUAGAUUAGUGAUUUUGCAAGUGUUUUAUACCACUUUGUGAUUUGUGAUUCUUGCAUUUUAGCAAUUUGGACUCCAUUGCUUUUUAUAGUAAUAAUAAUAAUCAAAGUUUUCUUGAUUUUGAGGCUACACAAGUACUUUAUCUACGUUUUGGUGCUUAAAUCAUGCAUGGCCACAUACCUAAUUAAGAUGUGAAUUAACUACGUUUGUAAAUUAUUAAAAAACAAUUCUUUCUAUUGAAAAUGUUGUGCCUCGAUUUCUUAAUUUUUGGAAAUUAAAGUCAGUAUGUAAAGCACUCGUAUUUCUUUUUCCCUAAAAAUAUUUUCAUGUAAAAUUCCACCUCCGAUAUCUAUAAAAUUAAUUAUUAGCACCAUUACUUUGCGGGGAAAUUAUCUAUAAAAGUUUUUUAUCUCCUUAUCUAGAGAUCUUGUUGAGUGGAGUUUGUCCCUUACAUGUUCUGCUCUUAGAGUUAGUCUUCCAACCAGGAUAAGACUCUUCCUUAAACUUUGAAAUUUCACUGUUAUCUUCCCUCAAUUGUUUUCGAUAUUGUUGGUAGCAGACUGUUACACAAUGCACUGAUACCAACAGCUGAAAUUAUAUAAGUAACAUCCCUUCAAUGUGUAACUUUGUUAGUUCAUUUCACUGCGAACCUCCAUAUAUCAUUCUUGUCUGCCAUAGACUCUCUCUCUAAAUUCUAAACCGAUUGCCAGGUUGUUCGCACAAAGUUUUUUGACAUGCCACCUUUGACUGUCUCGGAAGCUAUUGAGCAGCUGGAAAAUGUGGAUCAUGAUUUCUAUGGUUUCAGGAAUGAAGAAACUGGUAUGAACUUAUGCAGCUUGUUUCAAUUUCUUUUUCACUUAUCCUCUGCAAUCUGUUAACUAAUAGAACCAGCUAGAGAACCAUCAUUGGCAGAGUAACCAGGCCUAGAAAAUAAGAUCUUCCUAUAAAAUAGAUUACAAAACCCACGUUUUUGGUAAUGCUGUAUAUACAAUGCUAAGGCAUCUAAGAGAGCAUGAUAUAGGGUUCGAGACCUGGUGAACGCACACUAACGCGAUGUCAAGACAUGAUUGUACUGGUUAUUAGAUUUUGGAAGAUUAGGUUCAGUGUGCUAUGUCCCAACUUUUACUGGAAUGAGAAGACAAAUCUUGCAAUUUAUAAGAUGGAAAUCAAUUCGAUAAAGUCUUCUUUCCAUGCGGACGAGUCUUAACUAUUUUCUCUUUCCUGUGGAUUUUCAGUUAUGUAAUGGAAAUCAAUUCGAUGAAGUCUUGCUUCCUGUUGUAUUUUCUCGUCAUGCUAUGUAUGGUUCUUUGCUUGCUGCCAUGUUAACUUCCUUGGUUGGGAAUUCUCUCUAGCGAAGUUUUGCACGAGCCUACUUCUGUGAAACUUCUGCCUAUGUUCAAACAAGUAAAAAUUGGAUUUCUUACAACAUGAGCCCCAUCUGACCCAGUUUAGGUCGUGACUUGCAUUGCCUUCCAGAGCGGUGGAAAACUUCUUGGUGAAAGAGAUGUCCAUUAUCCCGGUUAUGGAAAUGUCAAGUGGAGGUUCAGUAAAGAGUUCAUAUGUGGACAAAACAGCUCCCUGUUAGCAAUACUAUCGUGAAGUUUACGAACAUAUAUUUAUAGCCAUAGCAAUUAGAUUUCAAUUGUCAGAAAAUACAAAUACCAUACCAUAGAAAAGAAAUUGUUAACUCUUUGUCUAGUCUAUCGAAGUCCUUGAUCUGUGCACAUGAAGAAAUCAGAGGUUUUCUUGCUGUACUAGAGACUCCAUAUAUUUUUACUUUGUGAAACGUAUUUUUUCUGAAUACUUCUUUCCCAUCUAAAGGUGUGUGAGUGUAACCCGGUGGAAAGUUUGGUAUUGUGAUAGCUUUUGUGGUUGUGGUUUGAAAAAAGUUGUUUUAUAAAAAGUAUUUUUAGUUGAGAUUGAUUUGGUAUUUAUAUAUGUUUGGUUAAAACUGUAGUUGAAAUUAAGGUUGAACAAAAAGUAGUUUAAUGUGUUUGGUUAAGAAUUCUUUUCAAAUUGAGGUUAUAAAAUAAUUUUAAAAAAUACAUAUUAAUAUUAAUGGUUUUUAAUUUAAAUAUUGUAGAUGUAACUACUGCUAUUACAUCUUGAAAUAAAUAAUACUUUAUAUAAAAUAAUUUUUAUUAUUCCAUUAAACUAUCUACAAUUCCAUCACGUAUGAAAUACAUCCGACAAUAACUAUAGUUUUCUUAGUUUUUUAAGCGCGCAACAAUAUCAGGUAAAAUAUAAUGAGGAACAAAAUUGAGAUUGCGAUCAAAUUCUGCAAAUACUACGUCAUCAAGCGAUCUCCGUCUAAUUUAUGUAGUGAUACUUUAUAAUGUUAAACACUAGUUUUUCAAAUAAAACACAAUUAAAAAUAAAAAAUUUAAUUUAAUUUUUUUAAACACUAAGUUUUUGAAUAAAACACAAAUAAAAAUAAAAAAUAAAAUUUAUUUUUUUUAUUUUACUGGGUUGGACCCGGUUCAAUGCAUUUAGAUCUGGACCGGACCGAUAAACACUAGUUUUUUUAAUAAAACACAAUUACAAAAAUAAAAAAUAAAAUUUAUUUUUUUACUAGAUUGGACCCGGUUCAAUGCAUUUAGCUCUGGACCAAACCAGACCCAACCCGGUCCGGCCGAAACAGUGGAGAGUGACUCCACUGUUCCAUUCCACAUGAAGAAGAGGAAAGCAGCAUUAAGCUGCUUCUAACAACCCUGCGUUUUAAACGCAAUUAAUAGUGGGGUUCAUGAAUAGUAAAUCAAGUUUCACUUAUUACCAAACACUGAUUUUUCAUGGUUUGCUUCAUCAGCAAACACAACGACGGAAAAAAACAAUCACUUAAUAUAUAUACCAAUUCAAUAUUGAUAUAUCCUUAAAUUUUUUUCUCAUCGAUACAAUAUCACUUAUACCAAAAACAAAAGAGUUCAAAUUACAUAAAUCAUGGUGAUAAGUAUUUUGAAGCAAGUUCUACCUUCCAUGUAUUACAAUGCAACUUUCUCUUUUGAAUCAAAACCAUUAUUUUUAUGAAUGAACUUCCAAAUAUUCAUUUAGGGUCACAAAUAAAAAUUCAAAUAUAUUUUGUCAUUCUCUUAACGUCAUGUAUACAACUAAGAUAAUGUUUGGGAAUGCGGUUGAAAUUGUGUCUCUUAAAUAUUUAAAAACAAAUUCUUUUUUUUCUUUAAAAUUAUUUUUUUAUGUUUUCAGAUCGUUCUGUCUGUUGGAUAAAAAAACUAUGUAAGUCACAAAAUAUAGAGCUGGUAUUUUAAGCAUAGUAAUCUCUCUCCCUAAAUAGAGAUUUAAGAGAUUUCUCGCUGGUGAUUCGUGUGAAUUACCGUUGAAGGUCGGACAAUUGGAUGACUUAUAAUUUACGAUAACCCAGCUUUUAAAGAAUUAUUUAAAGAAAAAAAAUAUCAAACCUUCAGGUGAUAAAAUCUUCAAACAAUUCUAGAUCUAUCUAAUAUGAUUCUAGGGAUUCUUAAAUAAUUUUGUUUUAUUAUUUCUGUUGCGUGUAAGACAUUCAGGAAUUGACUCUAUUGAACUUUCCUUUCUUUGUUUAUGGCCAUUGAUGUUUCUCAAGGGAUCAAGCACAAGUCAAAUACCAUUUCUAAUUUUUUAAGAGCUUUUUCUCAAAGUCCAAAGGUGGGGAGAAUACAUGCUUCCAAGAUUCACAUUAUAAGAAAAGGAAGAGAUUCAAAAAAAGAAAGAAUAAUAAUAGAAGCCUUGAGGCUUGAUAGUGUUGAAAUGGUAUUAUGAUUUGCCUCAAUUGUUGUUAUAUACUAGAUAGGUGAUUCAUGUUAUGCCAUGAGCUGGGUUAAUUUUUUCUCAAUGUAAAAAACAAAAUGUAAAGGCGAUGCUGAUGUUUUUAAAGAAGCAAGAAAAAUAUAAAAUCCAGAUUAUUGACUCAACUGAGUUUAAUAAGCCCAAUCAAUUUAAUAAUAUGAUUUAAAAAGACAUCGUAAAUACUGUGAAAAAAAAAAGUAAUUAACCAUAAAAAAAUAAGUUGUCACUAUGAUAUUCGAGAGGAGAAGAAAGAAAAGCCCAUUAGAGACCUACAGAAGUUCCAUCGUGGACACCGCUCAACCACCAGAAAGACCUUAUCAAGAUGAUUCUAAUGUCAUUAUGAAAUGCUCCAUGACAACACCAAAACAGACCGUACACAUUAUCAGAGCAAUGACCCAAAAGGAAAACUAAACAAAAGAUCAUGAGAUGAACAUCUCAUGUUUAUAUUUAAUUUAGUUCAAAAACAAGAUUUCUAUAUAUAAAAAAGCUAAAUUUAACAGAGAUCAACAAAUAGAAAGACUUAAGGAAAAAAAAAGAAGAAGCAAACCUGAGUGAAUUUCCUAAACUAGGUUAAUCUCUUAAAUUCACAAUAAGUGAAAUCCUAGAUCCAGACUUAAUUAAGAAGCUUGUUUUUUUUUACAAAUUCAAUGUUGAAGUAUAAAAUCAGAAAAAAAAUAUCAAUUCAAAAAAAUUAUGAAGGAAAAAAAAUAAUAAUUAAAAGAAUAAGGAUCAAAUUGGUGGGAAAAAAAACUAAAGGAUGAUGAACUCAUAAAAAAACUUCUAAAAAUCAUCUCAAAUAAAACAAAUAUCAAUUAAGAGAAUAAGGACCAAAUAUAAGAGAUAAAAAAUUGAAGGGAGAUGAUAUUGCAAAAAAAAUUAAAUUUCAUAAAUUAUUUCAAAUGAAACAAAUAGUAAUCAAAAGAAUAAAAAUUAACUCUAAAGGAAGAAUAAAUGAAAGGUUGCUUUCAAAUUUUAGAGGGUCAGCACAUAAACCAAGAGAGAGAGAGGGAAAAAGGGAAAAAAAGAAAAAGUUGGCCGCGCCAAACCAAAGCGCCAUUUGAAGCACAUUCCGCAAACAAAAGGGAUGUCGUAGUUUGACCAUCAUAUGGCUUCUCAAGCAUCUUCCAAAGGAUGCAAAGACAACCUACAUGGUAACAUAUGCAUUGCUUACACUAGCAAGUUUUUUUUUAAUAACAUUUAUAUUAAAUCAAUUACCAAAGAGCCCUUAACAAACUUGAAUAUUACAAAAAAAAAAAAAAACUCCAAUGUAAAAUGAUGCAAAUGGUCAUAAGUUAUAAAAUCUUUGCUUUCAAGGUUAAAUGAGUUAUUUUACUUUUUUUUUUUAAGAAAAAUACGAUAAAGCCUCUAGACCCAGGUUUUAAAAUAAUUUUUUUUAAGAAAGAUGAAGUAAUUUUAUUGCGCUGAAACAUAUGAAAAGACAUUUUUGAUGCCAUCUAAUUUGAAAAUGAUUUUUUGACCAUAAAAGACAAUUCUAUCCUUAUGAAAGGCUUAAUGAUUUUUAUAUAGAAUAACAAAAUUAUCAUUUCACUAAAAUAAUCCACAGUAACAUAUAUCUUGGUAUACAAUAAAAAACUAAGCUCUUAUAUUUUUUUUAAUAAGUGUUUUUUAUAUAGUACAAUGAAUCCUUCUAAACUUAGAAUACUAAAUGGAACAUACUAAAUUUAAAAUAUUAAACUGAAAAUGAUUACUGAAUAUAUAUAUAUAUAUAUAUAUAUAUUCAACAAAUAAAAUUAUCAUUCAAAUUUAAAGAUAAAUUAACUUAAAAUUAUGUAAUUCAAAUUUUAAAGACGUAAAAAAAUAGGAGUUGAGCCGAUAUGACUUAAUCGACUCUCGACGAGUCUGUAAACAAUCUAGACAACUGAUAAAAAUAUAUUUUAAAAAAAAAUCAAGAAGAAAUUUUUUUUUGAAAAAAUAUUGAGAUGACAACAUAUUGGAUUGACCCAGGUCAACCUAAGUUAACCUUUCAAAUUCGCGACAUAGAUCAAAAGACCAUGAUAACUCCAAAUAAAACAAAUCAUAAAGCUCAAUUUUCAAUAAACUCAUUUUUGAAUGACGAAAUUAGGAAAAAUUCAAUUUUAAAAAAGAUCACAAUAGAAUGAUCUAAAUCUACUUGGGUUAACUUGCAAAACUCAUAACCCAGAUCAUGAGGUUAUGAUAAUUUCAUAGAAAACAAACUGAAACAAAUAACAAAGCUUAAUAUAUAAUCAACCAAAUAUUAAAAAUAUUAAAUAGUGAAACUAAAUAAAAAUCAAUUAAAAAAAAAAAAAAACUCAAGUCAACUAAGUUAAUUCAUCAAACAACAUGGAAAGGAAUCUACAACUUUUAUCUUUAUCAACUAGGGUAAAAUUGUAACUGAACUAUGAAUAGGUAGAAGAAUAGCUAGAAUAAUAUUGCGGUGUGUCCAACACUCUUGUGCAGUCAAUUGUGGAGAAUAAUAUUGCGGAGUGUCCAACAGUCUUGUACGGGAAUGUAAUAUGAAAAGGAUUGCUCUAAAGGCAACUCAUGCAAAAGCAACAAGUAAGAGUUCAUUAAUAAUAUAAUUACCGUGUUUCCAACACUCACUACUCUUGUUUAGUCUUCUUAUAUAUAUAUUUAAAAACACCCAGCUAAUGACUUUGAUCCCUCGUCUUUAAAUGUGUGGAAAUAUUUGCAAUGCAGUAUUCAACACUGUACAAAGGAAGACUCACAUAACAUUGUUGCCGAGGGGAAAAUUUGAAACCGCAUUCCCUCAAAUUUCAAAAACAAAAUUCGUUAUAAAUUAUUUUUUUAUAUUUUUAUAUCGUUUUGAUAUACUGAUCAUAAAAAUAAUUUUUAAAAAAUAAAAAACACUUUAAACCUAUCACAAUCUCAAAGAUUUCAUUUCUACGUAACAAAAGCCGAAUAUUAGAAAAAUUAUCCUGGAAACUAAUAUUGCCGUGUUUCCCACACUUGUAUGGAAAUAUUUAAACUUUCAAUAAUUAAACCUUCAGUCCCAUGUUUUGCGCCACUUGUUUGACAAUAUAUAUAUAUAUAUAUAUUAGUUGCGGAGACUUAAAGGUCAAUGAAACGGACAGACUUGAAAAAAGAAUGAUCUAAAGAGAAAUGGAUGAUCUAUCACAAUCUAAUUAUUUUAAUGGCAUUUUAGUCAUUAAUAUUACUCUAAAGAGAAAUGGAUGAUCUAUUCAAUAAUCUCACAGUUUAAGUUCAAAACAUUAAAAGGUAAUUUCUUGUAUACUUUAUCUACGUUUUGGUGCUUAAAUCAUGCAUGGCCACAUACCUAAUUAAGAUGUGAAUUAACUACGUUUGUAAAUUAUUAAAAAACAAUUCUUUCUAUUGAAAAUGUUGUGCCUCGAUUUCUUAAUUUUUGGAAAUUAAAGUCAGUAUGUAAAGCACUCGUAUUUCUUUUUCCCUAAAAAUAUUUUCAUGUAAAAUUCCACCUCCGAUAUCUAUAAAAUUAAUUAUUAGCACCAUUACUUUGCGGGGAAAUUAUUUAGUAGAAACAAAGACUUUGGGGUCAAGAAAAAGGACAGACCAAGUCCUAAGUGAUUCCCCAUAAAAAAGACUUUAGUUCGUGACUACGCUGAACUUUCCUUUCUUUGUUUACGGCCACUUUGUUUCCCAGGGGACAGGCCACGUCGUCAGUUAAUAAACUGUUGAUUUGUUUGUGUAUAAAUAGUACCAAUGCGAAUCUUUACUUCUCAUCUUUCGCUCAACACUCCAAAUAUACUUUCGAAUCCUGUAAGGCCAGCCAACAUGGGGUUUUCACCGCUGUCCCUCCCUCAAUUUCUCUCUUCCAUUCUGUUUCUCUUCCAUUUCCACACAGCAAUUUCUUCAUCAAAUUACUCCUCUUCAUCUCAUUUCUGUGCUCCUGACCAAAGCCUUUCUUUGCUCCAAUUCAAAGAGUCCUUUUCCAUUAAUAGCUCUGCUUCAGGGCGUUGCCAGCAUCCCAAGACAGAGUCGUGGAAAGAGGGUACAGACUGCUGCUCGUGGGAUGGGGUCACUUGUGAACUGGAAACUGGGCAAGUCACUGCACUGGACCUUGCUUGCAGCAUGCUUUAUGGCACCCUCCAUUCCAAUAGCACCCUCUUCUCCCUGCAUCAUCUUCAAAAGCUCGACCUCUCUGACAAUGAUUUCCAAAGCUCCCAUAUUUCUUCUUCAUUUGGCCAGUUCUCCAAUCUGACACAUCUUAACCUAAAUUUCUCAGGCUUUGCAGGUCAAGUACCGUCGGAAAUCUCUCAGCUCUCCAAAUUGGUUUCACUUGAUCUCUCUGGAAACUACUACCCAAGUCUAGAACCAAUUUCUUUUGACAAGCUUGUUCGAAACCUAACCAAGCUUAGAGAACUCGAUUUGAGUUGGGUAAACAUGUCACUAGUUGUUCCCGAUUCCUUGAUGAAUCUGUCUUCUUCUCUGUCAUCGCUCACACUCUAUUCGUGUGGAUUGCAAGGAGAAUUCCCGUCCUCAAUGGGAAAAUUUAAGCACCUCCAGCAGUUGGAUCUUGCAGAUAACAAACUUACAGGUCCAAUUUCAUAUGAUUUUGAGCAACUCACUGAGUUGGUUUCACUUGCUCUCUCUGGAAACGAAAACGACUAUCUAAGUCUAGAACCAAUUUCUUUUGACAAGCUUGUUCAAAAUCUAACCCAGCUUAGAGAACUCUAUCUGAGGUGGGUGAAUAUGUCAUUGGUUGAACCCAAUUCCUUGAUGAAUCUGUCUUCUUCUCUGUCAUUACUCGUACUCUAUUCAUGUGGAUUGCAAGGAAAAUUCCCAUCCUCAGUGAGAAAAUUUAAGCACCUCCAGUACUUAGAUCUUAGAUACAGCAAUCUUACAGGUUCAAUUCCAGAUGAUCUUGGACAACUCACUGAGUUGGUUUCAAUUGAUCUCUCUUUCAAUGCCUAUUUGAGUGUAGAACCAAGUUCUUUUGACAAGACUCUUCAAAACCUAACCAAGCUAAGAGGACUCCGUUUGGGUUAUGUAAAUAUGCCUUUGGUCAUACCUAAUUCCUUGGCGAAUCUGUCAUCAUCCUUGUCAGCUCUUGCCCUUUGGGGUUGUGGAUUGCAUGGGAAGUUCCCAGAUAACAUCUUUCUCCUACCAAACCUUGAAGUGCUUGAUUUGACAUACAACGACGACCUCACUGGCUCUUUUCCUUCAUCCAAUGUGAGUAAUGUCCUCCGGUUAUUGGGUCUUACUCGUACGAGAAUUUCAGUUCAUUUAGGAAAUGACUUCUUCAAUAAUCUAAAGUUGUUGGAAGUUUUGGUUCUUAGAAAUUCUAAUAUCACAAGGUCAAAUCUGUCCCUUAUUGGUGAUCUCACACAUCUCACUCGUUUAGAUCUCGCAGGUAGCAAUUUUAGCGGUCAGAUUCCAUCAUCAUUUACAAAUCUUGUGCAACUUCAAUCCUUGUAUCUUGAUAACAAUAAUUUUUCAGGUAGGAUUCCAGAGUUUUUAGGUAACCUUACCCACCUUGAAAAUUUAGGUUUAUCCAAUAAUCAACUCUCAGGACCUAUCCCUUCUCAAAUAAGUACUCUUUCAUUGAGAUUGUUUGAUUUGAGCAAAAACAACUUGCAUGGUCCAAUCCCAAGUUCAAUUUUCAAACAAGAGAACCUGGUAGCCCUUUCUCUUGCAUCCAACAGUAAAUUAACAGGUGAAAUUUCUUCCUCUAUUUGCAAGCUUAAAUUCCUUCGACUCCUUGAUUUGUCCAACAACAGCUUGAGUGGUUUUAUACCACAAUGUUUAGGGAACUUUAGCAACUCUCUCUCAGUUUUGAAUCUUGGCAUGAAUAAUCUUCAAGGCACUAUCUUUUCACAAUUUUCAAAAGGGAAUAACUUGGGAUAUCUCAACCUAAAUGGCAAUGAAUUGGAAGGGAAAAUACCAUCGUCUAUCAUCAACUGCAUAAUGCUGCAAGUUCUUGAUCUUGGUGACAAUAAAAUUGAGGACACAUUUCCCUAUUUUCUAGAAAAGCUUCCAGAGCUGUAUAUCCUUGUCCUAAAGUCCAAUAAACUCCAUGGUUUUGUGACUAGUCCGACUACUAAAAAUUCAUUCUCCAAAUUGCGGAUCUUUGACAUCUCCAACAAUAAUUUGAGUGGACCUUUACCAAUAGGGUAUUUCAAUAGUUUUGAAGCAAUGAUGGCCUAUGAUCAAAAUCCGUUUUACAUGAUGGCCUAUUCCAUAAAAGUGACAUGGAAAGGGGUUGAGAUUGAGUUCGAGAAAAUCCAAAGCACUCUUAGAAUGCUUGAUUUGUCAAACAACAGUUUCAUCGGAGAAAUUCCAAAGAUGAUCGGAAAGUUUAAAGCAGUUCAACAACUCAACCUCUCUCAUAAUUCCCUUACAGGCCAUAUUCAAUCAUCAUUUGGAAUGUUGACCUAUCUGGAAUCAUUAGAUUUGUCUUCGAAUUUGCUUACCGGAAGGAUUCCAGUACAGUUGGCAGAUCUAACAUUUCUUGCAGUCUUAGACCUUUCACAUAACAAGCUUGAGGGGCCCGUACCCGGGGGAAAGCAGUUCAACACGUUCAAUGCAAGCUCAUUUGAAGGAAACUUGGACUUAUGUGGAUUCCCCAUGCCAAAAGAAUGCAAUAAUGACGAGGCACCACCAUUGCAGCCAUCAAACUUUCACGAUGGAGAUGAUUCAAAAUUCUUUGGAGAAGGAUUUGGAUGGAAAGCUGUGGCAAUAGGGUAUGGAAGUGGGUUUGUGUUUGGAGUCACAAUGGGAUACGUUGUGUUCAGAACAAGAAAACCAGCAUGGUUUCUGAAAGUUGUUGAAGAUCAAUGGAAUCUGAAGGCAAGAAGAACGAAGAAGAAUGCUCGUAGGAAUGGUGCAAGAAGAAACUAAACAACGGAGCUAGUAACAUGAGGUAAGUUCUGCAAGCAUUAUUUGACAUCUUAAGGUUUUACGUGCAAGAGUUUAUGCUAUUUUUUCUGUGCUAUUUCCUUUGAUUAGUCUUUUCUUUCGCUUUCGGAUUCAUUAAAUAAAAAAAAUUAUUUGUAUGUUUCUCUAUUGCAGUGAAGUUAGGAAUAAACAUUCUCGCUACCUUAUGAGAUACCAAGUGGAGGUUGACAUGAGAAGAACGCUAGAGUGGCAGAUUCAGAGAAUUGGAUUCCUCUUUCGUACUGCUUCUGUUUUCCUUCAUGGUUGUGUUUUAAUUUUAUUUUUUUUAUUAGUUGUAUUCGAUACAUGGAAUAUUUUCGAGUCACUUAAUAUGCAUGUUUUUAUUUAUUUAUUUUUAUGGUUAGUUUUGAUGCAAGGUUUGGGUGUUACAUCUAUUAAAAAAGAACCAAUGCAUGCAGCAGUUGUUACAACUUUACUUCAAUCACCCUUUCUUAGUGUAUUCAAACUUUACUUCAAUCUCUAAAUAAACUAUUUAUUUAUUUAGGAGUGCGCUUUAACAUUUCGAUUCAUUAACAAUUUAUCAAAGUUAAUCCAUACAACUAAAAUACAUGUAAACUGCAUAUAUAUGUCGGACAGCUUUGCAAUAUUGAAAAAAGAAAAUACAGAAAACAUUCGCAUUAUCAUUUUCUUUAUGGUAUCAGAGCUCUAGUUCUGAGAACCUAGCUAGGAAUCCAUACAACUAAAAUACCUCAUGCCUGGUGACGAAGACCAAAAGCUUCUUGAAUAUAACAGGCGCUGUCGAACUCUUUCAAGACCUCAGAACCAUGGGAGAACUCCAAUCAUCCACCUUUUCUCCAUCACUCCGAUCAACCCGGCGCUGUCCUCGUUUCACAACAAAUUCUAGUGCUCUGUUCCUUGCCUACUUUUGGGCAGUGUUAUCAUGCAAACAGAAGCGUUGGCAAAGUAAGUAGUUCCAAAUAUUUCUAGCAUAGAUUUAUGCAUGCAAAAUAGUAAUGUGAAUAAGCAACCUUGUUAAAGCUUAGCUCCUGGAAAUGGAAUGCCGCCGCAAAUUGCAACUGGAAAAAAAAAACCAAAUAUGUAAUUUGGUGGCUAGUCUUGUUAGGUUUCGGAAUCAAAACAAUUAAAGCUUGAUUUGUAAAUCAUAUUUUAGAGAUUUAGUUUGAUUGUAGUUUUUGUAAUUAAAUCCUAAAAAUUAGUUGCUAGUCUGUCAGUUUACUUAUUUAGACAAGAUCUUUUCUAUGUAAACUAUAUAUAUGCAUUGUAGAAAUCACACAGAAUAAUAAAACUGCCUUGCUGUUCUUCAAACUCCCACAGUCAGCUUUCUUGUUUUCUUCAAGUCUUGCAAACGAGACCGACUCGUUCCUCGUAAUGAUGCAGCUGUCGACCAUCAACCUCGCACCUACAAGAAAUGGUGAGGCAUAUUACAGCACUUACAGUAUUAAACGGGUAGCAACGAUGAAGCGAAGACGAGGCCGGUGCCAGAAACAGAGCAUUUCACUCAUAACCAUGGACUUGGAUUGCAAUGAGAUAACAGCGAAGGAUUCAAAAGCCUUAUUUAGAACAUGCAUGUUUGUGAGUAAUUCAUAUUAAGAAUUUUUCUGCUUCCAGUUGCUACAGUAAUUUAGAAAAUGCAUGGACGUUUACCGGUUUCGAUUGUUAUUGGAUAAGCAUGAAUACGGUAAUCGAGAUUAAGCAAUGAAAUUGAUUGAGAAUAUUAACAAUCAACGAAAAUCAAUUAAGAUUCAGACUACAAAUAGAAAUAAAAUAUGAAAAUCUAAUUACCUACGAUUCCUUCUUCGCUUCGUUCUCCCAUUUUUAUGUAUUCAGCAUCAAUAGUGUCAGCAUCAGGUAAGAAGGUUGAGAUAUGCGCAUACUUACCUUAACCAAAGUCGAGGUGGGAAGAAUGCCUGCUUCUGAGAUUCACAUUAUAAGAACAAGAAGAUAUUCAAAGAGAGGAAGAAGAACAAGAGAAGCCUUGAGGCUUGAUAGUGCUGAAAUUGUGUUAUGAUUUGCCUUAAUUGUUGUUAUAUACAAGUGUUUUUUUUUAUAUAGUUCAAUGAAUCCUACCAAACUUAAAAUACUAAAUUGAAAAUAUUAAACUGAAUAUAUAUGAUUACAAUAAUUUAAUACACAGGUCUCGGGCCUUUAUUAAAUUAUGCUGGAUCAGACUAAACUUCAUGCCUCAACACACAUGUCAUCCAUCAAUGAACUUUUUCUUCUGAUCUUGUCCUCCAUGGAAUCUAAUUAGAGAACAAAAUGUAUCUAAUAGCAAGGAAAAAGUUGCUUAAAUUGCAAACUAAUUACAUGAGAAAUAAAAGUGAAGAAAUUCAUGCAUAUGAUUAAAUAAAAACAGGAAUUAAGAAAUUUUUAAAAAUAAAUUUUCGGGCAAAAUAAUUCGAGACAUUAUAAAUAAACACGGUAAUGUUGAGGGUUGGAUUUAAUUGAAGAGAACAAUACACUUAAAGGAAAUGGGGCCUAAAUGCAAAUAAGAGAAAUUAUGGAGUAUAAAUACUCUUCUCCUCAUAAAAAAUCUGCAAGAACCAUAAGGAAAGAAAAUAGGGAGUUUUGUAUCCAUUCUUGCAAAAUCAAGAGAGAAACACUAAAAUUUCAAGAAUCCAUUUAAAAUUAAGAGUUUAUAGAUGGAAUAAACACUUGUGAGUAAGGGAUUAACAAGAAAAAUUGAAGUCCUCAAGGGGCGUGGCGUGAUGGCAAAGGGGUUGAGAUCUGCACAGUAGGUCUCGAGUUCGAGUCAAGGCGUGUACCUCUUGUAAGAGCCUGGGACAGUCGGGGUUUUACUCGCUCACCUGGGCCCAUAAAGUGCGCUUUCCGGGGGGUGGUGUUUCCUCAAAUCCAAAAAAAAAAGAAAAAAAGAAAAAGAAAAAGAAAAAUUGAACUAGAAGAGAAGAAGGAGGGCAGACUGUCAUUAAAAAAGAAAGGAGGGAGUUGAAAAUCUUUAACUGGUUGAAAAUCAAAAUCUUAAUUUGUAUCGGGUAUGGUGUUCUAAACAUAAUCUUAAAAUUCAUUUCAAAUUCGAUAAUGAAUCGAUGCCUUGAUAUUGAAUUAUAGGUUAGGGUUCUUAUACAUGAAAUGGGGAAAAAGUAUUUGUUGUUAAAAUUAAGUUAAUUCAUGUGUGGUAUGUGAUGGGGGGCGUGAAACCCAAAUAAUUUACCCAUAAAAUAUAGUUUGUGAAAGUAUUGUGUGAAGGGAAGGGGGUGACGAAUUUGGACAGACUUGUCUCCUAACUUUCGGUGAGAUUUUGGAUAAGAGGAUGAAAUAAUUAGGAUCGGAUUCCUUCAUGGACAUUGUAGUUUUGGAUGUUAGCUAACCAAGGAAACUAGUCUUGCUCAAUUUGGAGCUGUAGAACUCCAGUUAUGGGUCACCAACCAAUACUGAGUCGUGACUGAUUCUGUAGGGCAGUAAGACUGAUUAGUUGAUGAGCAAUUUUGACUUUCUUGGAGGUAGAAUUGGGUUCUCCUUCCUUUAGAGAACUUGUAACCUCGUGUCUUAGCUUUCCAACGAGAUCAAUAUCACUUGAAAUGGAGUUCUAGAACUCUGUAUAUAGUUAAAAAUCUGAGGAGUGUUCAGACAGUAACAAUUGGACAGUAACAAUUCAAUGUCUAGACAGUAAUAAUUCAAUUUCUAGACAGUAAUCGUUAGACAGUAACAGUUGGACAGUAACAGUUCAAUGUCUAAACAGUAACAGUUCAAUGUCUAGACAGUAACCGUUGGACUUUCACGUGAAUACUAUAUGUAAGAAUAUAAAAGAAUUGAGUCAUACGAACACUUGCACAUUGAGAUACUAACUCUGAAAAUAUACAUGAUAUAUGUAUGUAUGUUAUUAUGAGAAAAUGAACAUGCAUAGAAAGUAACAUAUGAGUAAUAAAUGAAUAUGGAUUCUCUAUAAUAUCGGCUUGAAGGAAUCAUAACCAAAAACUUCCUUGUGAUUCAGGAGGAGCAACCAGGAUUGGAUCUUCUAUUAGGGGAGGUCACGAGACAGACGGAGCAGGUGCGUGAUUUUCCCUCCUAUUUGCACUUCUACAAUUUAAAAUACUUCUGGUGAAUGCAAUUACAAUAAAUAUCGUAUUCAAUGUAAAUAAAGUCUAGUGUAUUUACAAGAUUAGGUUCGACUAAUGGCAUCCGUGAUAGGAUUGCCGGGAUAUGAAUCACAGGAUUAGGUUCGGCUAAUGGCAUCCGUGAUAGGAUUGCUGGGAAAUGAAUCACAGGAUUAGCUACGGCUAAUGGCAUCUGUGAUAGGAUUAGCUUCAAAUUGUUGGGAAAUGAAUUACAAGAUUAGCUACGAUUAAUGGCAUCCGUGAUAGGAUUGCCGAGAAAUGAAUUACAAGGGUAGCUUGGGCUAAUGAUGUCCGCGUUGGGAUGCCCGGGCACGAUUGAUAAGACUCGAUUUGUAAAAAGUAUCCGUGUUCGAAUGACCUGGGGAAAUUGAUAAUUGCCUAAAAAUGUCCAUGUUGGACUUUGCAAGGUUACCCGGUUCAUGCAAGUAAAUAAGAGUAUUCAAAUUAAAAAUAUGCAAAUGAGUGUUAAUUGGGUUUAAAUGAAUUACAAGUAAAAUAUAUGUUGUCUGUUAGAAUUUGUAUGGAUCCGAUAGAAAAUUUAUAUGUCAUUCAUAUACAUUACAUGAGCAUAUAUAUAUAUUUCUUUUAUCAACAUAAUGGUAUGUUUAUUUAUGUAACAGGUCCAUCAAAUAUCCAGGGAGAUCAUUAGUUUAUGACUCUACUUUGUCAAGCUUAUGUAAAUAUUUAACUUAAACAUAAUGGAAUUAACGCGUUUAUAUAUUAUGCUUUUGUGUAAACCUUGAUGUAUUUAUAAAAGUUCAGUUUAACAUGUAGUACUUUAGUUAUCUUGUAAUUAACCCUUUUCAAAUGUUUAAGAACACUUAUUAUGUUGUAAAUGCUCUCCUUGCAUGUUAGUAUUCAUUUUUCUUUUAAAUUUUAUGAUAUGAUAUGUGGGCUAUUGUCGCAAGUGUGCGGCGUCGCGGCGAUCGCCCACCAUCCAAGAAAAAAAGAAAAAUGGAAUGUGGUGUAUUCCUGGCAAAUGUGUAGAGACAAAGAAUUCUUGUCUCCUAUCAGUAAAAAAUGAAUAGGAGUUGCCACCUAGUAUUCUGGUCACUAGGAACCCUAACUGGUCUCAGAGAUCGGGUACGGAGACUAGUUGCGUAAAGGGAAGGUAUUAGCACCCCAAAUACGCCCUACCUAAGAUAGGCUGCAUUGUUUUGUCUGAUAAAAUCUCAAGUCAUGUUGUGGUUUCUAAUUGUUGGUCUGUCUAAGGUUCAAGACAAGCCCCCCUUUAGAAGGAGGUUCUUAUCUUAAUGCGAUAAAAUCUAACCGUUCUAUUGUCCAAAAAAUAAUUAAAUAUCCAGAAUAUGCAUUAUGUGUAAUGUCGUACCCCAGAUACUAACAGAUAAACAAAAUAAAAUUUUUGUUGUUUUUGAAAUUUUGGCCAAUGUUCUCUUGACUUUAAUAAACUGGUUAUUAAAGCCAAAAUGCAUGAUGAAACAUUGUUUUAUCAAAUUUUUUUUUUGUGUAUGAAAAACACACUAUGAUUUUGUUAGCUUUGAGACACUUGGCCGAAUGCACAAAAACAUUUUUUAUUUUUUCAAUUUUUUUCGUAUUUUUGGAAGUUUUGACGACAACCAGGUAUUUUAAUAUCAUAUUUGUAUUUUUACCAUGUAAAAUACUGCCCGAUAUUAAUCAAAAUAACAUAAAAACUACGCGGAAAAAAAAAUAAAAUGCUGAAACAAAUAUUUUUAAUUUUUUUUCUUGAAAUGGGCCGGAUCAGGCCCAAAUGCAUAGGUUGGGCCAAACAGCCCAACUAUAUGGGCUGGGCUCGGCCCAGCCCACAUUAGCUAGUUACUGUGCAUGAGCACAGUAAUCAGCUUCUCCCCGCCUACAGACGUGCACUGUGCACGUCUUGCGUGGCGAGGGAAGAAGUGAAGGCAAAAUAAAAAUGGCGGAGGGCUUACCUGGAGUGGCGGCGACGCUGGUGGCUGCUGGCGGCGAAGGCACGGUGGCCGGCGGUUUCUCCUCCUUCUUCCUCUGUGUUUUCUUCUUCCUUCGCUGUCUGUUUUUUCUUUCUUUUUCUUUCCUUUUCCUCUCGUCUUUUCUCUUCUCUUCUCUUCUCUUCUCUUCUCUUCUCUGUUCUGUCUCUCUCUCGUCCCUCUGUCCCUCUCUUUUUUUCAUUUGUUCUCGGUCUUUCGGUCUCUCUCUUCCCUCUCUUCCCUGUUCUGUUUUUCUUCCCCUUCCCCUGUUUUUAUAGGCAAAAACAGGGGAGGGAGACGUGGCUGGGGCGGCCACUGUGCUGCCGCCCCGAACCUCCCAAGGGGUAUGUCCCCUUCCUUCUUCCACCACGUGGCAAGCAAGUGGGUUGUUGGCGUCUUUUUUAGAGAGAGCUGGCGGUGGAACAAAAGAAAAAAUCUUCUUCUUCUUCCCCUGCUUCGCGUGUCCAAGGGAAGAAGAAGACAUGGGUGCCGUUCCAAACGGCACCGUUUCCAGCCUUUCUCUUGUUAUUUUAUUUUUUUAAUUUUUUUUUAUAACAGUGCAUGAAACGGCGUCGUUUUUCCCAAAACGCGUCGUUUCAUUUAAAUGGAUUUUGGCGCCAAAAACACGUCAGAUUCAAAAUCAGGCCUUCAAUUUGCGCGCGUUUUGCUUUUUGGUCCUUGGUCUCGGAUUUCUUCAAUUAAGUCCCUAAUUGGCCAUCAAACUUCAAUAUUUAUGCAAUUAAUCCCCUGAUUUGAUCAAAUUAACUCUAAAAAAAUAUAAUUUGAUCCCAGAACUUUAAUUACUUUAAAUUAAAGCCCAAAUUAACUCCAAAAUCAAUUUUUCUUGCAAUCAAAACCUCCAUAAAUUCAAUUAAACCUUCAAUAAAAUUUAAUUGAGUCCAUAAAUAUCUGAUUUUGGACUUUUCUUCCUCAAAUUCAAUUUUUUUUGUCAAUAGGGUUGUCAUCAGUUAACAAAAUAUUGCCAAAUUUUAAUCUUUGUAUUUUUUAACCUCCUCAACCAAUUUUUACCUAUUUUUUGGGUGCGCUGACAUCUUUUUUUCACUGUUUAUAUUUUUUGAUAGUAUAUUUUUUUUGUAUUUUAUUAUUUUUUGUGCGGGACCAAAAAUGAGUUACAACAGCUAUGUUCAUAUUGAACUUACUCGUAGGAUAUAUAUAUUGUGUGGAUUGUAUGAGGUGUUAAAUUAUGAUGAUUGAAAUAAUUAAGGUCCGGAAUUAUGGGACUUAUGAUGAUAAGUUGAUUGAGUAAAUUGAUAGUAGUUGAUAACUUGAGAUGUUGUAAAUACAAAUGAAACUCUGCCGAAUUUUUGGUAGAUUUCAAAAAAAAAAUACCCUCAAAUUAAGAGCAUAUAUUGAGAUCUUUUAACGUUGAUCAAGUCGUACAAUCGGGUCUGUUACAUACAUUUUCUACAGAUGUAAAUAUGAAGGGAUAUCAUCUUUACGUAUCUUUACCUAAAAUUGUUAAUGAACUAUAUAUGAAUAGUCCGAAAUGAUUUCCACAAAAAAUGUCAAUUAUGGAAAUUAAUAUUGCCGUGUUUCCAACACUAUUGUUUAGUCAACUAAGGGACCUACUUGUAUAGAAAUAUUUGCAAUUGAAUAAUUCAACCUUCAAUUCCAUAUUCAGCACCAAAUGAAGAUUAGCACAUAAACUUGCUGCAAAUGUAAAUGUAGGGAUAUUAUCUACUCUCAACAAAAAUCAUGGAGCCACUUCAUUUGUGAACAAUAAGAAACCGUUUGCUCUAUAGGCAACUCAUGCAAAAGAAACAAAGAAGAGUUCGCUAGCAACAAUAAAAUAAAUUUAAAUUAAAUAGCUUGCUCUUGAAUUAUGGAAAUGUCUUGUAGGACUACCACUUCAAAUCAUAAACUCAUUUAAAAUGGAGUAGGUAGUAACAUGCUAAUUAUUUUAAUGGCAUUUUAGUCAUUAAUAUUACUCUAAAGAGAAAUGGAUGAUCAAUUCAAUAAUCUCACAGUUUAAGUGAUCAAAACAAUAGAAGGGUAUUCAAUAAUAGACACAGUAAUUUCUUGUUUACUUUAUCUACGUUUUGGUGCUUAAAUCAUGCAUGGCCACAUACCUAAUUAAGAUGUGAAUUAACUACGUUUGUAAAUUAUUAAAAAACAAUUCUUUCUAUUGAAAAUGUUGUUCCUCGAUUUCUUAAUUUUUGGAAAUUAAAGUCAGUAUGUAAAGCACUCGUAAUUUGUUUUCCCUAAAAAUAUUUUCAUGCAAAAUUCCACCUCCGAUAUCUAUAAAAUUAAUUAUUAGCACCAUUAAUUUGCGGGGAAAUUAUCUAUAAAAGUUUUUUAUCUCCUUAUCUAGAGAUCUUGUUGAGUGGAGUUUGUCCCUUACAUGUUCUGCUCUUAGAGUUAGUCUUCCAACCAGGAUAAGACUCUUCCUUAAACUUUGAAGUUUCACUGUUAUCUUCCCUCCAUUGUUUUCGAUAUUAUUGGUAACAGACUGUUACACAAUGCACUGAUACCAACAGCUGAAACUAUAUACGUAACAUCCCUUCAAUGUGUAACUUUGUUAGUUCAUUUCACUGCGAACCUCCAUAUAUCAUUCUUGUCUGCCAUAGACUCUCUCUCUAAAUUCUAAACCGAUUGCCAGGUUGUUCGCACAAAGUUUUUUGACAUGCCACCUUUGACUGUCUCGGAAGCUAUUGAGCAGCUGGAAAAUGUGGAUCAUGAUUUCUAUGGUUUCAGGAAUGAAGAAACUGGUAUGAACUUAUGCAGCUUGUUUCAAUUUCUUUUUCACUUAUCCUCUGCAAUCUGUUAACUAAUAUAGGUACUGAAUUGCUGUGUGCUUGAUUCCAGGUGAGAUAAAUAUUGUUUACAAAAGAAAAGCUGGUGGAUAUGGUCCCAUCAUACCUAAAGGAAAUUACGAAGCUGAGAGAUUAGAGCCUUUGGUGGUAGAACCAGCUAGAGAACCAUCAUUGGCAGAGUAACCAGGUCUAGAAAAUAAGAUCUUCCUAUAAAAUAGAUUACAAAAUCCACGUUUUCGGUAAUGCUGUAUAUACAAUGCUAAGGCAUCUAAGAGAGCAUGAUAUAGGGUUCGAGACCUGGUGAACGCACACUAACGAGAUAUCAUGACAUGAUUGUACUGGUUAUUAGAUUUUGGAAGAUUAGGUUCAGUGUGCUGUGUCCCAACUUUUACUGGAAUGAGAAGACAAAUCUUGCAAUUUAUAAGAUGGAAAUCAAUUCGAUAAAGUCUUCUUUCCAUGUGGUCGAGUCUUAACUAUUUUCUCUUUCCUGUGGAUUUUCACUUCUUUGUUAUGUAUGGAAAUCAAUUCGAUAAAGUCUUCUUUCCUGGUGUAUUUUCUCUUCAUGCUAUGCAUGAUUCUUUGCUUGCUGCCAUGUUUGCUUUUCCUUAGUUGUGAAUUCUCUCUGGCGAAGUUUCGCGCGAGCCUACUUCUGUGAAACUUCUGCUUAUGUUCAAACAAGUUAAAAUUGGAUUUCUUACAACAUGUGCCCCAUCUGACCCAGUUGAGGUCGAGACUUGCAUUUGCCUUCCAGAGCGGUGGAAAGCUUCUUGGUGAAAGAGAUGUCCAUUAUCCCGGUUAUGGAAAUGUCAAGUGGAGGUUCAGUAAAGGGCUUAUAUGUGGAUAAAACAGCUCCCCUCCCUGUUAGCAAUACUAUCAUGAAGUUUACGAGCAUAUAUUGUUAGGAUACUGGCAUGCAAACCCGACAAGAUAAAAGGCAAAGGAUAGGAUAAAAUGAGAAAUUAGACACACAAGAAUUUACGUGGUUCACCCAAUUUGGCUACGUCCACGGACAAGUAUAGAAGGAUUUUACUAAGUAAUGUGGGAAUUACAACCUCUCUUCAACAAUAGGAGAACAACUGAAAUCUCUCAAUUACUAGGAGAAAACACCUCACUUACUCUCUCAUAAAUACCUCACAACUUUGUGGGAUUACUCUCUCUUCACUCUCUCUACUUGCUCUCAAGUUUCUCUCUUGUGGUGUGCAUCUAAUGCUUGGAUGCAUUGCCUAUUUAUAGGCAAGCAUCCAUGCAAGAGACAAGGGGCACCAAUUGGUGCUGCAAGUGGCACCGAAUUGGUGCCCAACAUUGUUGACUUUGCCAACAAUGCUAGCUGGCUUCACAUUCUCCCACUUGAAGACUUUGAUGAUUUAAUCAAGUCUUCACACUUGAUCAUCUGUGAUUCUUCUAUCCUUUCUAUACUUGUCAUCUUCAUGCUGCUUACGUUUCUGUUAGGCCAUAAGAGGAUCUGCACCAUAUAUACUUGUCAGUGUUGACUGGUUUGGUCAAAGCAUCUGCUGGGUUUUCCUUUGUGUGAACCUUCUGAAAAUCCACACUUCCAUCUUCCACCACUUCGCGAACAAAGUGAUACUGAACAUCUAUGUGUUUUGUUCUUGAAUGAAACGCUGGAUUCCUUGCAAUAUGCAAGGCACUCUGACUAUCACAAUACAAAAGAAUCUUCUCUUGUUUGUGCCCGAGCUCCUCCAUAAGUUUCUUCAUCCAUAUUGCUUCUUUACAAGCUUGUGUAGCUGCCAUGUACUCAGCUUCUGUUGUGGAUAAAGCUACAACAGUCUGAAGUUUAGAGACCCAGCUCACAGCUCCUCCUGCAAUUAUGAACACAUAGCCUGUAGUGGAUUUUCUUUUCUCAAGGUCGCCAGCAAAAUUUGAAUCAACAUAACCUCUGAUAGUAGAUUCUGAUCCUCCAUAACAUAAUGCGGCAUCUGAGGUACCCUUGAUGUAUCUCAAGAUCCUCUUAAUAGUAUUCCAAUGCUCUCUACCAGGAUUUGCCAUGUAUCGACUAGCUGCUCCCACUACUUGUGCAAUGUCUGGUCUUGUACAUAUCAUGGCAAACAUUAAACUUCCCACUGCUGAUGCAUACGGUACUCGAGACAUCUCCAUCCUCUCUGCUUCAUUGCUAGGAGACAUACUUGAGGAUAAUUUGAAGUUAACAGGAAGUGGGGUGGAAAUUGGCUUACAAUCUUGCAUGUUGAAGCGUCGCAAGAUCUUCUUCAAAUAAUUUUUUUGAGAAAGCCAAAUCUUCCUCUUACUUCUAUCUCGGUGAAUUUGCAUCCCUAGAAUCUUGUUUGCUGGUCCUAAGUCCUUCAUAUCAAACUCCCUAGCCAAUUGUGCCUUCAAUUCUUGGACUCGAUCUUUGUUGGGGCCUAUUACCAACAUGUCAUCCACGUACAACAACAGAAUGAUGAAAACAUCAUUUUCUUCAAACCUCUUGUAAUACGUACAAUGGUCUGAACUGAGUCUGUUGUACCCAAGGCUAAUUAUGAAGGAAUCAAAUCUCUUGUACCAACACCUCGGCGCUUGUUUGAGACCGUAUAGAGAUUUGUUCAACCUGCAAACCAAGUUCUCCUUGCCUGUUUCAGCAAAACCCUCUGGUUGGAGCAUAUAAAUUUCUUCUUCAAGUUCUCCAUGAAGAAAUGCAGUUUUCACAUCUAACUGCUCUAAGUGAAGAUCAAAUAUAGCACACAUUGCCAAGACUACUCUGAUUGUAGUAAGUCGUACCACCGAAGAAAAUAUCUCAUUGAAGUCUAUUCCUUCUUUCUGAGCAUAUCCUUUCACCACCAAUCUUGCACGAUACCGCUCCACUUGAUCAUUGCCAUCACGCUUUAUCUUGUAAACCCAUUUGUUGCCAAUGGCCUUUCUUCCUUGUGGUAGCGGAACAAGAUCCCAAGUGUUAUUCUUGUGCAGAGCUUCAAUCUCCUCUUGCAUUGCUGUCAUCCACAUAGAUACAUCUGUGCUUUUGAUAGCCUCAUGGAAAGUUGAUGGCUCUCCAUCCUCUGUUAGAAGACAAUAUGCAAUAUUGCUCUCAGUAACAUAUUCUGAGUGCCAAGCCGGUGGUCUUCUUUCACGAGUUGACCGUCGAACUUCAGGAGUUUCAGACUCUGUUUGUUCUUGUUCUUCAGGUUCUGGUGUAGCUUCAGAAGAAGUAUGAUUCUGAGUAUUUUCCAUCUGGACUGCUGUAGUCUCCUUUAGAAUGCUAUUAUGUUCUUCCAUUUGCAUUUUACCUUCUGCAAAUAUAACAUCUCUGCUGAUGACUACCUUGUGGGCAGUGGGAUCCCACAGGCGAUACCCCUUAACUCCAUCAGCAUAUCCCAAGAAUACACAUUUUCUGGAUUUUGAAUCCAGCUUGCUGACUUCUUGAGUAUUGUACAUCACGUACACAGGACUUCCAAAUAUAUGCAAUCGAGAAUAAUCAGCUGGUUUUCCAGUCCACAUCUCCAUCGGUGUCUUCAGCUCAAUUGCAGUUGACGGAGAUCGAUUUAUCACAUAACAGGCGGUAUUGACUGCUUCUGCCCAGAAUGACUUUCCUAGACCUACAGUCUUCAACAUUGCUCUUGUUCUUUCUAAUAGGGUUCUGUUCAUCCGCUCUACCACUCCAUUUUGCUGUGGAGUGUAUGUCGUUGUGAAUUGCCUUUUGAUACCUUCAUGUUGACAGAAGUUAUCAAAUUCAUCACUAGUAUAUUCUCCUCCAUUGUCAGUCCUCAAACACUUGAUCUUCUUUUCAGAUUCAAGUUCCACCCGCGCUUUGAAAGUUUUAAAGACUGCGAACACAUCUGCCUUCCUUCUAAUUGGAUACACCCAACAUCUCCUGGAGAAGUCAUCUAUGAAUGAUACAAAGUAUCUUGCUCCUCCCAAGGAUACAACCGGUGCUUGCCAAACAUCAUAGUGAAUCAGGUCUAAGAUGCAUUUGCUCUUAGUUGUUGAUGUGCCAAACUUCAACUUGUGCUGUUUGCUUGUAACACAAUGCUCACAAAAGGGUAAAGUAACCUUUGUAAGCCCAGGGAGUAACUUCUGAUCAGAGAGAACUUUCAAACCUUUCUCUGACAUGUGGCCUAGUUUUUGAUGCCACAUCAUCGUCUUCUCUUCUGCAGGACUGGCUGAUGCAAUUGAUGCUUUUGCCCCAUGAUGUGUUUCUCCCAUUAAUACAAACAUGUUUGCAACUGUCUUUCUCGCCUUUAAAACCACCAGCGCUCCUUUGACAAUUUUCAUUAUUCCAUUGUCUGUUCGGAUCUUACAGCCAAGACUAUCAAAUUGUCCUACGGACAAAAGAUUCUUCUUUAAGUCUUUCACAUGUCGCACUCCUGUAAUAGUACGAAUUAAGCCAUCAUACAUCUUCAAUUUGAUGGUGCCAAUGCCAGCAAUCUCUAAAGCAUGAUCAUUACCCAUGAACACUGAACCUUCAAAGAUGGGUUCGUAUGUAUGAAACCAAUCUCGAUUAGGAGUCAUAUGCCAUGUUGCUCCUAAAUCCAUUAACCAAACCUCAGUGAGCUCUUUUCUAUCUGUAGAGACUGUCGUUGCUUCACUAUAUAAAACCUCCCCAUCUUCUGAGGUGCUUGCAACACAUCUUUGAGGUUUUGAUGACUCUGCAGUGUUCUCUAUACCCUUUUUAAACCAACAAUCCUUUUUUAAGUGCCCUUUUCUGCCACAGUUGUAGCAUUUCACAGUCUUCUUACUUCUUGAUUUGGACCUUCCUUGCAUUUGACUCCCACUCGAGCCACGCUCCGUUGAUCUCCCUCUUGACACCAACAAUGCCUCUACUUGGUUUGAACUAUUUCUGUCUCCUUUAUUUUUGCGCCUAUUUUCUUCUUCCAAGAUGGCGGCUGCAACAUCAUCAAAGACUAAAUAGUCUGUGAGGAUAUUAUUGGUCAAGUUGAUAAUGAGCUGAUCAUACGAAUCUGGAAGACUUUGAAGUAGAAGCUCUGCACGUUCACUUUCCUCUAUUUGUUGACCCAACGUAGUGAGUUGUGAAAAUAGAGUUCUUAUUGUGUUGAUGUGGUCAGUCACCGCCGUGGUUUCUGCCAUUCGAAGGGUAUAAAGUCUCCGUUUUAAGAAAAUCUUAUUGUGCAAAGACUUGGACUCAUAUAGCUUUGUUAGAGUCUCCCAUAUCUCCUUAGCUGUUUUCUUCUCCGCCACACUUGAUAACACUUCAUCGGCUAAUGCUAAAUGUAUGUUAGCAAUAGCAUUGCCAUCCAUUUCAUUCCAUUUUGCAUUAUCAGUGAUCUCCGCGGGCCGAUCCCCAAUUGCUGCCAAGCAAUUGCCUUUCCUUAAGAUUGCUUUGAUUCUCAUUUUCCACAGUGAGAAAUUGCUCCCCUUGAACCUCUCAAUCUCGUACUUUGCUGCCAUUGUAUUCACCAAGAUCUAUUCAGCUAUCACCGUUUCACAGAUCUGUAACGUAUAUAGAAAUAGUAUCGUGUGAAUAAUACUUCACUAAGUAAGUUCCCAGGAAAGAUUGGAGAGGUCACAAACGGUCCCGCUUAAAACCCAAUCUCCUUAGACAGAACUUCCUAGACUGUAUUUAAUCACCGCACUGACUUUCUAUAUACGCCAACAGUAACGUAUGUGAACAGUACCGUAUGGAUGAAUAGUGUCGUAUAGGUGAAUAGUGCCGUAGACGUGAAUAGUAACCGUAUACACGAAUAACUAUUGUGUAUUAACAACACCAACCAGGAAGCUCUAAUACCACUGUUAGGAUACUGGCAUGCAAACCCGACAAGAUAAAAGGCAAAGGAUAGGAUAAAAUGAUAAAUUAGACACACAAGAAUUUACGUGGUUCACCCAAUUUGGCUACGUCCACGGACAAGUAUAGAAGGAUUUUACUAAGUAAUGUGGGAAUUACAACCUCUCUUCAACAAUAGGAGAACAACUGAAAUCUCUCAAUUACUAGAAGAAAACACCUCACUUACUCUCUCAUAAAUACCUCACAACUUUGUGGGAUUACUCUCUCUUCACUCUCUCUACUUGCUCUCAAGUUUCUCUCUUGUGGUGUGCAUCUAAUGCUUGGAUGCAUUGCCUAUUUAUAGGCAAACAUCCAUGCAAGAGACAAGGGGCACCAAUUGGUGCUGCAAGUGGCACCGAAUUGGUGCCCAACAUUGUUGACUUUGCCAACAAUGCUAGUUGGCUUCACAUAUAUUUCUAGCCAUAGCAAUUAGAUUUCAAUUGUCAGAAAAUACAAAUACCAUACCGUAGAAAAGAAAUUGUUAACUUUUUGUCUAGUCUAUCCAAGUCCUUGUAUUUUUAUCCCAUCUAAAGAAGGUGUAUAUAUAUAACCCAUAGACUGUUAGCAUAUUUAAAAUAUACAACCUUUCAUAUAUAACAUUUCAGGGGGGAAUUAAUUAAUGUGGAAAAAUUUAUUAUUUAAUUAUUAAUGAAUAAUGGGGCAUAAAAUAAUAUUUUAAUUAAAAAAUUAAAACAUCACUAACAUUAUCUCACUACAUUUAAUAAAUAUGCCAGUUCAAUAUUGAUACGUCCUCAAAAUUUUUCUCAUAGAUACAAUAUCUUGUAUACAAAAAACAAAAGAGUUUAAAUUGCAUGAAUCGUGCUGAUAACUCUUUGGAAGCAAGUACUACCUUCCACGUAUUAUAACGCAACUUUGUUUUUUGAACCAGAACCACAAGUUGUAUAUAUUUUUAUGAAUGAACUUCCAAAUAUCCUUUCAGGGUCACAAAUAAAAAUUCAAAUAUAUAUUAUCAUUCUCUAAAUUUCAUGUAUACAGCUAAAUAAGAGAAGACAAAUAUAAAAUUAAUGGAGUCUUUUAGAUAGAUAAAAUGCAAUAUAAAUACAAAUGAGUAUCUCAAUUACAUAAAAUCUACAUUAUAGAAUUGCUCAACAUGUCUUUUAUAAGCAAUAGAUGGUAAAUCUUUUAUCAAUGAAUUAAUAAUCAUCAAUCCAGUGUUGAUGUGUUCAACAACCACUUUAUUUGCUUUGACAUGUUCUCGAAUAGCUAGAUAUUUAAUGUUGAUGUGCUUAUUGCAACUUUUAUGUUAGUGAAUAUGAUUUGUAGUUAAUCGGUUGAUUAUACAUAGUAUUGAUUUUAUUCAUGUAAAAUAUAUUUAUUAUUAAUAAAGACUUUCUUUAUCUUUAUUUUUAAUUUUUAUUUAUAUUUGAUUAAUAAAUCUAGAGUAAAGAUAAAGUCUAUGGAACAAAAAUACUUUGCAUAAGAAAUUAUAAAAUUGUUAUAAUUAUGAGAUUUUUAUUGCAUCAAAGCAUUGUUCCUAAAUGUUCAUGGUCAAUGUUUUAUUUGUUGGGUCCUCGAAUAUCAUACACACAGUGGAAACUAUGAAACAAAAUUAUUCGGGAAUCCCUAAGAUCCUGUUAGAUAGAUCUAGAAUUGUUUAGGAAUUUAUUCCUGAAGAUAUGAUCUUCUUCGACUUUGAAUAAUUUUUUAAAAGCUGGGUUAUCGCAAACUACAAGUCAUCUAAUUGUCCGGCUUCCAACAGUAAUUCACACAAAUCACUCGUGAGAAAACUCAUAAAUCCCUAUUUAGGAGAGAUGAAUUGUUAAGCUUAGAGUGCUAGCUCUAAUAUUGUGUUCACGUAGUUUUUCUGUCUAACAAAAAACCAUAUUUUUUUUCACUUAUAAAAUAAUAGGCUUAGCUUUAUAUUUAUAGGGAAUCCUUAAAAAUCCUAUAAAUAAUAAAAUAUAUAUUUGCCCCUUAAAUAAUAUCCAUUUAUUAUUUAAAGAUAAUUAUAGAAAUUAACUCAAUUAAAUCCUUACUUGAUUUUUAUAAGUCUAGAAAUAUAAUCUUUGUAUUAAUUAUAAUUUAGUCCUUAAUUUCUAGAACAUAUUUUAAUCAAGUCAUACUUAAUUAAAUCAUCCCAAUUUAAUUUUUGAUUAAUGAUUCUUAAUGCAUGUGACUCAUUAAGUUCCUAAUAUGUUGGCCUAAAUAUAAUUUAUAAUUCUAAUUAAAUAGAAUUAAAUAAUUUAAUUUAUUAUUAAUUCAACAAUUGAUUAAUUUAUUUUGAAGAUUAGGUAUCGUCUAGCAACACGUCAUGAACCCCUAAAUAUUAGAAAAGUCAUUAGUAGUUUGACUUAACCUUUUAGUGAUCAAUUUCUCAGUAUAAUAAAUAUCAUUUCAUCAAUAAUGUUCUGAUUUAAUAUUAAAGCAUAAAGUAUAUAUGUGAUGUUAAAUCAUGCAUAUUCUCUAUAUAAUAGUCAUUGAUCAUUUGAAUAAGAUUUGAAACUCUUUUCAAAUCUCAUUACACAUUGGCCAAGAAUAAUUCUCAGUCAAUACUAUUUGAGAAUAGAUGAAACAUUUUUCUUAAUUCACCUAGGGUGAUGAAUCAUUUAUUGAUCACUUAAGUACCUUCAUAUAGUUCAUGCUAUACCCAAUUUCUGCUCUUUCGUUACCUUGAUUAAGAUAACAUGUAACAGGAUCAAAGUAUAACAUUCUUUAUAUAAGAUGACUUUGCGAUCUCAAGUUUAAGGAUCACUUACACAACUAUCGUGUGAGCCUUUUCAUAGACAUAAGUGAUCUUUCCAUAUGAAAUUCUCAUGCAAGUUAAUUUAGUGUACAUGUCUUAUGAUAAGCACCUACAUAUUAAUUAUAGGUAUCCCUUAUACCUCAGCUUAUGCUCUUAUUUUGGAGUCGUUGUUUGUUAGAUAUAAAAAACUAUAUAGUCACAAAAUAAAGAGCUAGUACUCCAAGCAAAACAAUUCCUCUCUCCUAAAUAGGAUUUUAGGAGAUUUCUCACUAGUGGUUCGUGUGGAUUAUCAUUGGAGGCCAGACAAUUGGAUGACUUGUGAUUUAUGACAAUUCAGCCUUUAAAUAAUUAUUCAAAGCCGAAGAAGAUCAUAUCUUCAGGUAAUAAAUUUCUAAACAACUUUAGAUCUGUCUAACAGGAUUCUAGGGACUCCUAAAUAAUUUUUUUUUAUUGUUUCUACUACGUGUAUGACAUUCAGAAAUCUAACAAGUUCCUAACUCUGUUGAACUUUCCUAUAACACCACACCCUACUAGCAAGAUAUUGUUCACUUUGGCCCAUAGACCUCACGGAUUUGUUCUUGGCAGCCACGUAUGACCCCAAAAUGCGUUUUAUUAGUCAAGGUGAACAUGCUCAUAUAAGCCCCCCAAGUCCUCACCCGUUGAUAUAAGAUAUUACAAUCCACCCUUCUUAAAGAGCUCGACGACCCCAUAGACACCACCAGAUAACCAAUGAAGGAAAUAAACAUAAUUUUUUUUUGUUGACAAAGCAAAAAAAAAUAAUACCAUAUGUGCGAAACAAAGUGGCUGGAAUGGAACUGGAAAGUUUUGGCCAGAAUCUAAGUGGAAUUUUUGGAAUGAAUUGAGAUUCUAAGCUAGAUGAAAUUUUUUAUGGUUGGUUUUAUUUUUUAAAACUAGAAUAAGAUAUAGCGGACAUUUCAGACAACAUGUAACGGAAUUUACAACUUUUAUCUUUACCCAAAAUUGUAAUAGCUAGAAAUUCGCACUCUUGUGUAGUCAAUUAUGGAGAAUAAUAUUGCGGUGUGUCCACCACUCUUGUGUAGUCAAUUAAGGGACCUACUUGUAUGGAAAUGUAAUAUGAAACGGUUUGCUCUAAAGGCAACUCAUGCAAAAGCAGCAAAUAAGAGUUCAUUAAUAUAAUUACCGUGUUUCCAACACUCACUACUCUUGUUUAGUCUUCUUAUAUUUAAAAACACCCAGUAAAAACACCCAGCUAAGGAUGUUUCACAAUGCUUCUCCCAGCAGUGAGAAAGAUCAAUAAUGACUUUGAUUUCGUCUUUAAAUGUGUACACGUUCACCCAUACUGUCAGUCAUCAGCAAAGGGACCUUCUUGUAUGGAAAUAUUUGCAAUGCAAUAUUCAACACUGUAAGAGUCAACUCUUACCGUAUGGUUUCCAAAGCAAAUGUUAUGGAACAUGUUUUGAAGACUCGCAAAACAAAAAGAAAAACCUUGUUGCUGAGGGGAAGGGGAUUGCCAAGAAAUUCAAAUGACAAAUAUUGCUUUAUUAAUCUUCACGUCUCAAAGCCUUCUUCACUAUACCCACUGCUCUAAUUAACAAUCUUUACCUAAAAUUGUAAAUGAACUAUUCAGAAAUUUGCACAAAAAAUGUCAUUUAUGAAAACUAAUAUUCUCGUGUUUCCAACACUAUUGUAUAGUCAAUGAAGGGACCUGCAUGUAUGGAAAUAUAACAUGAAACGGUUUGCUCUAAAAGCAACUCAUGCAAAAGCAACGUGUUCCCAACACUCACUCUUGCUUAGGCAACGUGUUUUCACAAUUUAUACGUAGUUUUUAGAUUAAUUAAAAUAAAGACGUAAAUUGAUAAAUGAUGAUUAUUUAACAAAGACGUAACAGAUGCAACAAUUCUUGUAUACUUUCAUCUACGUUGGGUACUUAAAUCUUGAUUGGUUUGUGUAUAAAUAGUACCAUUGCAAAUCUUUAUUUCUCAUCAUUCGUUCAACACUCCAAAUUAAUAUACUUUCGAAUCCUGUAAGGCCAGCCAACAUGGGGUUUUCACCACUGUCCCUCUCUCAAUUUCUCUCUUCCAUUCUGUUUCUCUUCCAUUUUUACACAACAAUUUCUUCAUCAAAUUACUCCUCUUCAUCUCAUUUCUGUGCUCCUGACCAAAGUCUUUCUUUGCUCCAAUUCAAAGAGUCCUUUUCCAUUACUAGCUCUGCUUCAGGGCGUUGCCAGCAUCCCAAGACAGAGUCGUGGAAAGAGGGUACAGACUGCUGCUCGUGGGAUGGGGUCACUUGUGAACUGGAAACCGGGCAAGUCACUGCACUGGACCUUGCUUGCAGCAUGCUUUAUGGCACCCUCCAUUCCAAUAGCACCCUCUUCUCCCUGCAUCAUUUUCAAAAGCUCGACCUCUCUGACAAUGAUUUCCAAAGCUCCCAUAUUUCUUCUCGAUUUGGCCAGUUCUCCAAUCUGACACAUCUCAACCUAAAUUUCUCAGGCUUUGCAGGUCAAGUUCCGUCGGAAAUCUCCCAGCUCUCCAAAUUGGUUUCACUUGAUCUCUCUGGAAACUACUACCCAAGUCUAGAACCAAUUUCUUUUGACAAGCUUGUUCGAAACCUAACCCAGCUUAGAGAACUCGAUCUGAGUCGGGUAAACAUGUCAAUGGUUGCACCCAAUUCCUUGAUGAAUCUGUCUUCUUCUUUGUCAUCACUCCUACUCUAUUCGUGUGGAUUGCAAGGAAAAUUACCAUCCUCAAUGAGAAAAUUUAAGCAC